This 83-nucleotide transfer RNA is filed under the name Candidatus Pacearchaeota archaeon. RNAcentral describes it as "tRNA-Ser". It matches the Rfam family "tRNA". Rfam says of the family: Transfer RNA (tRNA) molecules are approximately 80 nucleotides in length. Their secondary structure includes four short double-helical elements and three loops (D, anti-codon, and T loops). Lineage: Archaea; Nanobdellati. The record is from RNAcentral.
GCCCGGAUGGCCCAGCGGUUACGGCGAUGGAUUGCUAAUCCAUUUUCCUCACGGAUUCCCAGGUUCAAAUCCUGGUCCGGGCG